UUCGCAAUGCCCGAAAGGGUGACGAAGCGACGCCGCGUGGGUGAGGAAGGCCUUCGGGUUGUAAAGCUCUGUCAGGAGUUAAGAAAUGUAGGUACGCUAAUAUCGUAUCUAUUUGACAAAGGCUCCAAAGGAAGCCACGGCUAACUCUGUGCCAGCAGCCGCGGUAAUACAGAGGUGGCAAGCGUUGUUCGGAAUUAUUGGGCGUAAAGAGCACGUAGGUGGAUUUGUAAGUCAGAUGUGAAAGCCUUCUGUUCAACGGGAGAAUUGCAUCUGAAACUACAAACCUUGAGUAUAGGAGGGGAGAAUGGAACUUCUGGUGGAGCGGUGAAAUGCGUAGAUAUCAGAAGGAACGCCGGCGGCGAAAGCGAUUCUCUGGCCUAUUACUGACACUCAGUGUGCGAAAGCUAGGGGAGCAAACGGGAUUAGAUACCCCGGUAGUCCUAGCCGUAAACGAUGGGCACUAAGUAGAGGGGUUUU
This 477-nucleotide ribosomal RNA is filed under the name Candidatus Scalindua brodae. RNAcentral's name for it is "bacterial SSU rRNA". It matches the Rfam family "Bacterial small subunit ribosomal RNA", at positions 365 to 832 of the family's 1533-position model. Lineage: Bacteria; Pseudomonadati; Planctomycetota; Candidatus Brocadiia; Candidatus Brocadiales; Candidatus Scalinduaceae. The record is from RNAcentral.